This 253-nucleotide ribosomal RNA is filed under the name uncultured bacterium. RNAcentral describes it as "partial 16S ribosomal RNA". It matches the Rfam family "Bacterial small subunit ribosomal RNA", at positions 524 to 776 of the family's 1533-position model. The record is from RNAcentral.
UACGUAGGGACCAAGCGUUGUUCGGAUUUACUGGGCGUAAAGGGCGCGUAGGCGGCAAUUCAAGUCAUCUGUGAAAUCUCCGGGCUUAACUCGGAACGGUCAGAUGAUACUGCUUUGCUAGAGUGCGGAAGGGGCAAUCGGAAUUCUUGGUGUAGCGGUGAAAUGCGUAGAUAUCAAGAGGAACACCAGUGGCGAAAGCGGCUUCCUGGUCCAGCACCGACGUUCAGGCACGAAAGCGUGGGGAGCAAACAGG